AGAGUUUGAUCAUGGCUCAGAUUGAACGCUGGCGGAAUGCUUUACACAUGCAAGUCGAACGGCAGCACGGGAGCUUGCUCCUGGUGGCGAGUGGCGAACGGGUGAGUAAUAUAUCGGAACGUAUCCAAUAAUGGGGGACAACGAGUCGAAAGAUUCGCUAAUACCGCAUACGCCCUACGGGGGAAAGCUAGGGAUCGUAAGACCUGGCGUUAAUGGAGCGGCUGAUAUCUGAUUAGCUAGUUGGUGGGGUAAAGGCCUACCAAGGCUUUGAUCAGUAGCUGGUCUGAGAGGACGACCAGCCACACUGGAACUGAGACACGGUCCAGACUCCUACGGGAGGCAGCAGUGGGGAAUUUUGGACAAUGGGGGCAACCCUGAUCCAGCCAUUCCGCGUGAGUGAAGAAGGCCUUCGGGUUGUAAAGCUCUUUCGCAAGGGAAGAAAACUUAUCCUCUAACAUAGGGUGAGGCUGACGGUACCUUGAUAAGAAGCACCGGCUAACUACGUGCCAGCAGCCGCGGUAAUACGUAGGGUGCGAGCGUUAAUCGGAAUUACUGGGCGUAAAGCGUGCGCAGGCGGUUUUGAAAGUCAGAUGUGAAAUCCCCGGGCUCAACCUGGGAACUGCGUUUGAAACUCCAAGACUAGAGUAUGGCAGAGGGGGGUAGAAUUCCACGUGUAGCAGUGAAAUGCGUAGAGAUGUGGAGGAAUACCAAUGGCGAAGGCAGCCCCCUGGGUCAAUACUGACGCUCAUGCACGAAAGCGUGGGGAGCAAACAGGAUUAGAUACCCUGGUAGUCCACGCCCUAAACGAUGUCUACUAGUUGUUGGGAGAGUAAAAUCUCUUAGUAACGCAGCUAACGCGUGAAGUAGACCGCCUGGGGAGUACGGUCGCAAGAUUAAAACUCAAAGGAAUUGACGG
This 916-nucleotide ribosomal RNA is filed under the name uncultured bacterium. RNAcentral's name for it is "bacterial SSU rRNA". It matches the Rfam family "Bacterial small subunit ribosomal RNA", at positions 8 to 916 of the family's 1533-position model. The record is from RNAcentral.